AGCAGCCGCGGUAAUUCCAGCUCCAAUAGCGUAUAUUAAAGUUGUUGCAGUUAAAAAGCUCGUAGUUGAAUUUCGGGAUCAAUAUUUCGGUCAUGCCGUUGGUAUGCACUGUUAUCAUUGAUUUCUCACCUUCUAAAGAACCGUAAUGCCAUUAACUUGGUGUUACGGGGAAUUAGGACUGUUACCUUGAAAAAAUUAGAGUGUUUAAAGCAGGCUCACACUUGAAUACAUUAGCAUGGAAUAAUGAAAUAGGACAUCCGAUUCUAUUUUGUUGGUUUCUAGGAUCGAUGUAAUGAUUAAUAGGGAUAGUUGGGGGCAUUAGUAUUCAAUUGUCAGAGGUGAAAUUCUUGGAUUUAUUGAAGACUAACUACUGCGAAAGCAUUUGCCAAGGAUGUUUUCAUUAAUCAAGAACGAAAGUUAGGGGAUCGAAGACGAUCAGAUACCGUCGUAGUCUUAACCAUAAACUAUGCCGACUAGGGACCGGAUGAUGUAAUUUUUUAAUGACUCA
RNAcentral lists this ribosomal RNA (508 nucleotides) under uncultured Glomeraceae. RNAcentral's name for it is "SSU rRNA". It matches the Rfam family "Eukaryotic small subunit ribosomal RNA", at positions 569 to 1078 of the family's 1831-position model. The record is from RNAcentral. Lineage: Eukaryota; Fungi; Glomeromycota; Glomeromycetes; Glomerales; Glomeraceae.